Molecule: small RNA, 501 nt
Filed under: Pongo abelii (Sumatran orangutan)
Lineage: Eukaryota; Metazoa; Chordata; Mammalia; Primates; Hominidae
Description: processed transcript
Source: RNAcentral
AAAAGGGGUAGCAACCCGGAAAGUAGACUCAUCGUCUUGGUCUAGAGACUGAGCCCUGCACAGACAGACCCCUUCCCCUCUCUGCCAAAGACCCAAGCCCCAGAAGUCACUCCAUCUCCUACGGCUCGCAAUUUCCAGAGGCCCCCUGGCACCUUCCAGCCUGAUGUCGUGCGUCAAGUUAUGGCCCAGCGGUGCCCCCGCCCCCUUGGUGUCCAUCGAGGAACUGGAGAACCAGGAGCUCGUCGGCAAAGGCGGGUUCGGCACAGUGUUCCGGGCGCAACAUAGGAAGUGGGGCUACGAUGUGGCGGUCAAGAUCGUAAACUCGUGAGUGACCCCGGUUGCCCCCCAGCCGCAAUCUGGCCAAAAAGGAAGGCGAUAUCCAGGGAGGUCAAGGCCAUGGCAAGUCUGGAUAACGAAUUCGUGCUGCGCCUAGAAGGGGUUAUCGAGAAGGUGAACUGGGACCAAGAUCCCAAGCCGGCUCUGGUGACUAAAUUCAUGGAG